This 192-nucleotide unclassified non-coding RNA is filed under the name soil metagenome. Its description in RNAcentral is "partial internal transcribed spacer 1". The record is from RNAcentral.
CCAAAAGGCGAGAAAUCGCUUUUCAACCCGUUAGGUGGCCCUCCUGGGCUGCUGAACCGGCCAACCCUUUGUCGAACAAAUAGCCUCUUCGUUUCGGCAGCUGGCUGACCGCUGUCAGCCUGCCGCCUAGCACAACUCUUAAACUCUGUUGUAUUUAAAGUAUUCAAUCUCUGAUAACUAUUUAAAUUAUCA